UCCUACGGGAGGCUGCAGUAGGGAAUAUUGGACAAUGGGCGAAAGCCUGAUCCAGCAAUGCCGCGUGAGUGAUGAAGGCCUUAGGGUUGUAAAGCUCUUUUACCCGGGAUGAUAAUGACAGUACCGGGAGAAUAAGCUCCGGCUAACUCCGUGCCAGCAGCCGCGGUAAUACGGAGGGAGCUAGCGUUGUUCGGAAUUACUGGGCGUAAAGCGCACGUAGGCGGCGAUCUAAGUCAGAGGUGAAAGCCCGGGGCUCAACCCCGGAACUGCCUUUGAGACUGGAUUGCUUGAAUCCGGGAGAGGUGAGUGGAAUUCCGAGUGUAGAGGUGAAAUUCGUAGAUAUUCGGAAGAACACCAGUGGCGAAGGCGGCUCACUGGACCGGCAUUGACGCUGAGGUGCGAAAGCGUGGGGAGCAAACAGGAUUAGAUACCCGGGUAGUCCAC
RNAcentral lists this ribosomal RNA (444 nucleotides) under uncultured Sphingomonas sp. RNAcentral's name for it is "bacterial SSU rRNA". It matches the Rfam family "Bacterial small subunit ribosomal RNA", at positions 337 to 798 of the family's 1533-position model. The record is from RNAcentral. Lineage: Bacteria; Pseudomonadati; Pseudomonadota; Alphaproteobacteria; Sphingomonadales; Sphingomonadaceae.